Molecule: ribosomal RNA, 456 nt
Filed under: Triticum aestivum (bread wheat)
Lineage: Eukaryota; Viridiplantae; Streptophyta; Magnoliopsida; Poales; Poaceae
Description: partial small subunit ribosomal RNA
Source: RNAcentral
AUGCCUCCAGGAAGGGUGAUGGCCCCAGCUCCAGGACAAAAAAAGAGGAUCCUGGAACCUGAUGAACCUGCCCUUGAUAGAGUCACAAGGCAGAAAGCAAAGAUGGCGAAUGCGACGGACCAUCAGGAAAGUCUACUGCGCAUGGACUCUGAGACCUCGGUGCAAAUGGGUGAUGAGUUGCCGCCCAUGGAUGAAGAUGCAAUGACUACCAAGACUAGACUUAGAAAGGGCAAAGGGCUAGAGAGGAUCACCAAGUCGCUUGGUAGCAAGGUGCCUAUCCAAAUUGCCGAAGGGAUGAAGCGUCCAGAGAAGCCUCUGCAGUCAGCAAAGCUUGCUUCUGAGUGUGGACUCGUUGCAAGAAACCAUCUUCCGGUUCUUCCUCACUUCAAGCUAUACAAAAAAAUGCUAGUCUAUUGGAGAACUACAUUGGGAAAGUUGCUGCAAAUUUUGAGAUGA